Molecule: ribosomal RNA, 605 nt
Filed under: uncultured archaeon
Lineage: Archaea
Description: bacterial SSU rRNA
Rfam family: Archaeal small subunit ribosomal RNA
Source: RNAcentral
CCAGGCCCUACGGGGUGCAGCAGGCGCGAAACCUCCGCAAUGUGAGAAAUCGCGACGGGGGGAUCCCAAGUGCCAUUCUUAACGGGAUGGCUUUUCAUUAGUGUAAAGAGCUUUUGGAAUAAGAGCUGGGCAAGACCGGUGCCAGCCGCCGCGGUAACACCGGCAGCUCUAGUGGUAGCAGUUUUUAUUGGGCCUAAAGCGUCCGUAGCCGGUUUAAUAAGUCUCUGGUGAAAUCCUGCAGCUUAACUGUGGGAAUUGCUGGAGAUACUAUUAGACUUGAGAUCGGGAGAGGUUAGAGGUACUCCCAGGGUAGAGGUGAAAUUCUGUAAUCCUGGGAGGACCGCCUGUUGCGAAGGCGUCUGACUGGAACGAUUCUGACGGUGAGGGACGAAAGCUAGGGGCGCGAACCGGAUUAGAUACCCGGGUAGUCCUAGCUGUAAACGAUGCGAACUUGGUGUUGGGGUGGCUUUGAGCUGUCCCAGUGCCGAAGGGAAGCUGUUAAGUCCGCCGCCUGGGAAGUACGGUCGCAAGACUGAAACUUAAAGGAAUUGGCGGGGGGGCACCACAACGCGUGGAGCCUGCGGUUUAAUUGGAGUCAACGCCGG